GCUGGAUGUGGUGGUGCACGCCUGUAAUCCCAGCAGCUUGGGAGGCUGAGGUAGGAGGAUCAUGAGUUCGAAGCCAGCCUCAGCAACUUAGAGAACCCCUAAGCAACUCAGUGACACCCUGUCUCUA
RNAcentral lists this small RNA (127 nucleotides) under Marmota monax (woodchuck). The record is from RNAcentral. Lineage: Eukaryota; Metazoa; Chordata; Mammalia; Rodentia; Sciuridae.